UACGUAGGGUGCAAGCGUUGUCCGGAAUUAUUGGGCGUAAAGAGCUCGUAGGCGGUUUGUCGCGUCUGCUGUGAAAACUCGGGGCUUAACUCCGGGCCUGCAGUGGGUACGGGCAGACUAGAGUGUGGUAGGGGAGACUGGAAUUCCUGGUGUAGCGGUGGAAUGCGCAGAUAUCAGGAGGAACACCGAUGGCGAAGGCAGGUCUCUGGGCCAUUACUGACACUGAGAAGCGAAAGCAUGGGGAGCGAACAGG
Molecule: ribosomal RNA, 253 nt
Filed under: uncultured bacterium
Lineage: Bacteria
Description: partial 16S ribosomal RNA
Rfam family: Bacterial small subunit ribosomal RNA
Source: RNAcentral